Molecule: unclassified non-coding RNA, 7190 nt
Filed under: Helicoverpa zea (corn earworm)
Lineage: Eukaryota; Metazoa; Arthropoda; Insecta; Lepidoptera; Noctuidae
Description: biorientation of chromosomes in cell division protein 1-like 1, transcript variant X2
Source: RNAcentral
CUUAAAUAUUGACUGUGUUUGUCGUAUUUCUUUUUCGUAGAUGUUUUAAAUAAUUUAUGUGCUGAUAUUAAUUAAAAUAGUAGCUGUAAUUUAUAGCUUGAAGUGUUAGAGUAAAAAUUGUUUUACAACAAAGUUAUUUAAUGUCGUAAAUAUGGCGCAUUUGCAAUACAUGCCCGGAGAUCCUCGUCUCGUCGAUCAACUGGUUUAUGAGUUAAAGUCGAAGGGUAUUUUUGAUCAGUUCCGCAAAGACUGCAUCGCAGACGUAGACACAAGACCAGCUUACCAGAACUUGCGACAGCGUGUGGAGAACUCCGUAUCCUCAUUCCUGUCCCGCCAGUGCUGGAAGCCAGACCUCAACAAGAACCAGCUGCGGGAGAAACUUAGGAAACAUAUCCUUGAUGGCAACUACUUAGAGCAGGGAGUCGAAAGGAUUGUGGAUCAAGUGGUAAACCCAAAGGUUGCAUCCGUAUUCAUACCACAAGUUGAAGACCUAGUUUACAACUACUUAGGCAUAUCUCGGAAGAAAUCAGUCACUGCUGAAACUUCCAAUGGAAAACUAAGCACAGAUGAUCUCCUUCCCACAGAUUUAGAAGCUGUUAGCCCAGGUUCAGUAAAAAGCAAUGAUGACAGGUCAGAAGCUAUGGACGAUGAUUUUGGCGAAGAGAAUAAAAUGGAUGUGGACAUUAAAGAUGAAGAUAAAACCUCCAUUUCAGAAAUAGAAAAACCCAAAGUUGAAGGAGAUUCACAACCCACAAUCAUUGAAAUAAACACCGAUUCUGAUAUGGAAACAGAAAAACCCAUGACAAUGCAUGAAGAUAUAAAGCUUGAGAACAUACCUCCGCCUGAUAAUAGCCCGCCGAAAGUUGAACUCGAGAACAUUGAUAUUGAAAAAAUCGAACUUCCAAAAGAACCCAACAUUGGUACUGAAGUGCCGAAUCCUGGUGAAAUACCACUUCCUAAGGAUGAUAAGGAGCAAUUCUUCAAGCCAAUAGGCGUCCCAAGUGACGAUGAUUCAAGCAGCGAUUCAUCUUUGCGUAGAAAUAUGUCGCCUUUAACACCAAUACGCAAUUAUAACAACGAAAAUUCAUGUGAUGCGCAACAAGCUUUUGAAAAUGAUUCUGACAGCAAAAGUAAUGACAAAAAAGAGCCUAGUUCUUUUAGGUUCGCUAUAGAUGCUAAGUCUGCUGAGAACAGUCAAGACGGAAAACCGGAAAAGAAAGAUGCUGAACAAGCAAACCUCGCUUAUCAGUUCAAUAAUCAAGUGAACAUUAACACAUUUAACACGCCUUUGUACGACGACAGUUCAAACAGCAACAAUUUACAUAUAGAUUACGAAAGCGACGUCAACAGCAAGUUGAACGCAGAAAAAGUGCCAGAAGCCGAUCAGAAUUCAGAAGACAAGAGAGAUAAGAAGAGUGAUGACAGGAAAAGUACCCAUAAAAGCUCCCAUAGGUCCAGGGAUUCGCACAGGCAUUCUAGCAGCAAAGAUAAAAGGUCUGAUUCUAAACAAGGAAACUCUCGAGACAGCAGCAGGCAUGACAAGAAGACUAAAGAUGAGCACAGCAAAUCUAAAUCCAGUCAUAGGGAAAGAGAGAAGUCCAGGGAGAGAAGCGAUAAGAAGGAUAGCAGGGAUUCAUCUAAACAUAGGAGUUCUUCUCAUAAGAGCAGUUCUAGCCACAGGGACUCGAAAUCUCACCGAAGCUCAAGCUCCAGUCAGAAGCACUCAAGUGAGAAAAGAUCUUCAGAUGACAAAAAGUCGUCUUCUAGCCAAAAAUCUGAAAGAAGUUCGGAGAAAAGUUCUGACAGAAGUUCUAGAGACAAAAGGGACUCAAAAUCCAGCUCUCAUCGAUCAGACAAAGAUAGGAAGAGUAGCAGCAGUAGGAGCAAACAUGAUGACAAAGAUAAGAAAAAGGAAAAGAAAGAAACUGACGACCAUUACAGUUUGUCUGGUAGAGGGAAUCACGGAAGACGGUCUACCGAUAGAGAUUCAAACGAUGGCAGCUCUUCGUCCAAAGGAUCCCAAAAUCAAUCUGGUACAAAACCGACGGAAAACAAGAAAGAAUCGAAAGGUUCAAGCUCUAAAUCAGACAAUACGUCGACUACCAGUGGUGAAUCUACUAGCCCCAGUGACAAAGAACAUGGAAUUAUCACAGCUAAUGAGACUAAAAAUAACCAAAAACCUAUUAGGGUUGAAAAUCACUUAGAGACUCCUAUCGCAAGUCCUCCGAGACUGCCUUUCGUGCCGGAUGUCACGUUAAAGAAACCAAAAUUCGCAGCUAACUUGGAAGAAGCAAAACGGAUGAUGAAAAUGAGGAAGUUCCUAGAUGAAGAACAGAAGAGAAUGAACCAAGAGGCUGCGUUACUUCUUGAAUUUCAAGCUAAUGUUAGGCCCAGUUUGAGUCAGGUCUACUCUAGUAUUCCUGGGCCUGAGUUAGAAUUCGCUUGCAUAGCUCACGAAGUCAACAACAUAGUUCAAAGUAAAAUAACAAAAACAGAACACGUUUCGGAAGAAACUGUACCUUUAGAACCCAAAGCAACAGACUCUGAAAGCAACAUUAAAGACGUAACAACCAAAAUCAUGCAAACUGCUGAUAAAAACAAAGUUACAAAUGAAAUUAUUGAUGAACUCGAAGAAACUCUAACUAACGACUCACAAAUGUUUGAUGAAACAGAUACAAAACCUACUACUCCCGACAAGAAUGAAACUUACAACGAAAACAAACCAUUUUCUCAACUCAUGGAAGAAAUAUCAGAAUACAGUAAAGCUUCAGAGAAAAAUAAGAAAGACGCGUUAGACAAUUUAGUUGAUGAUGACAAGAAACGCACAGAAUAUUUUGAGGUAACUAUCAUAACGGAAGAAUUAUCUGAAACCGAUGAUUCUAUUGCGGAACCCAUGCCUGAAGCUGUGGUUAAACCUGAACAAGAAAUUAUAGAAAACCCCGAAAAUCCCCAACCUGAAAUUACCGAAAACCCUGAACAAGAAAUAUCUAAAGAUCCUAAAGUUGAAGUAAUCGAAGAUAUUAAAAUCGAAAUAGUUGAAGUUCCUAAAGUCGAAAUAACCGAAAUCCCUAAAGUCGAAGUAAUUGCAAGUCCCGAAGCUUCUGAACCCGCCAAAAAAGAAGAAGAAACCUUAAAAUACUUUGCUGAACACGAGAAAUUCGAUGCAGAACUAAAAAGGCAUCAAUACAGCGACUUCCUAAAAUCCUACACUGAAAGAAAUCUAGUCUCCGACAAAAUUCACGUAAUAAACUGCGACCCUUACGAAGAAAAUAUCAUCAAAGAAGUUUGCUCUUCGUUCGGGAAUUUCGAAGUAAUAAACUACUUCAAAAACGGUCAUUUGAAACUGCCAAAAACGUCUAAAAAUGUCAUUAAAAAUGUAAACUUGGCUUCAGAAAUAUCAUUGCCUGUUGACAAUUCUUGUGGGUCCAAAUCUCCUUCACUGGUUUUCAGUCCGGUAAAAUCUGAGUGUUCGUUCGAAUUAUCAAGUGAUUAUGAUGCCAAGUUAGAAGAGAUGGUGAACAAAACAUCCCGCCAAGAAGUGAUGGAGAUCAUACUUGGCAACGUUAUAGAUGAGAACCCUUCUAUAGAUUAUUGUACCGAGUCCAGUAUUGAUAAUGAUUUGAAUCUUAAACGGAAGAUAGUUGAAGAUGGUCCGGAGAAUAAUAAUAAACACGUUUUGAAGAAAGUUAGGAAACUCAGUGACUCUGAUCAGAUUUCAUCAACUACCGAAGAAAGUGAAGAGAUUUCGAACAACAAUAGGGUAUCGCAACCUACUAGGUCAAAGUACCUGGGUAGGGCUCGACGGGUCGGCUUGGCAAGACCUAGGAGGAAUAAUUUACCCAACAGUCCUUCAAGCGACAAAUCGGUGGAGAAUUAUGAACAAAACACCCAAGCGACACCUACAGCACAAACGCCAAACGGGAAAUUCAAAACUGUCACACGGAACAAAGUUCAAAGAUACGAUACUUCUGAUCUAUACAAGCCGAAACUACACUAUUUGUCCAGAAGAAAUAAUAUCAGUUAAGUCAUUCGUUUUUUACCUUGAUUUUUCUGUGUGGGCUAACAUCCCCAGAAAUGGUACCAUAUAUGUAACUCACUUUACCUUAUAAUGUGUACCUUGCUUUACCUUUCAAUGGUUUAAUUUUACCCUGAAAAGUAAGGUUGCCAACUCGGGGAUGAAAUUGUUAAUUUGUGUUGCCAAACCAAAAAAAGGUUGGCAGGUUAUUUUUGGAGCUUAAUAUAAUUUGUAUAAAAGAAAUAUUAGUUAUGUCUUAAACUUCAUGCAUAAUCUUUUUGAAGAUUUUAUUGAGAUUAUAAAUCUUAGUGAACUUAAAAACGUAUUUUGACAUUUCAUUUUGCCUCUAAAAAGGUUGUACUGAAAGUUGCUUACUUCCUUGUGAGUGCAAAAUGCUUCUUAUUUCUGUACUGUGUACAUUUCAUGUUCGCUCGUAGAAUUGUCUUUAUUUCCUUAUCCUAAAGGCGUAAGAAUGUAUGUAAAAUUUUAAAACACGCCUGAAUUAAUAUAUCUCAGCAUAUUAAACAAAAACUGAAUAUAACAUUAAAAUGCAUAUAAAUUGGCAUGAAAUUUGUGAUGAAUCCUGCCUUUAUUUUUAGGAAGGAACAAAUACGGAAAGUUUAUAAUUCAUUGGGUAACACUCGGAUCGUGGCUUAGGGUACUAUUAUGGAUAAAAUGUGGAUUUUUUAACUUAAAUGAUUCUGGUUAAUAAUGAAUUUACGACCAAAAAGCAGCCUAGCUAGGGAUUGCAAAAGUAUGAAUAAUUUUGUAACUUGCUUCAUAAAAAGCAAAAAAUAUUUUCUUUUCCGGUAACCCAUAAAAGGUUAAAUGAAAACCAGUGUUGCUAUUUGCUAGUGCUGAAAUUCUAAAAUAUUUGUGUACGUAAUCCCUAGUGACGCCUUUUGAUCUAAUUACUGCCAGAAAUCUAAAUAUCUGUAUCGAUUGUAUCGGUUGCUGAAUAAGAUUUUUUUCUCACUGUGAUACCAGCAAAAUCUAAUUCCAAAUCGCCCCGAAAUACUCGCAAUUUUUUUUGGGACAUCUAAAUUGGAAUGUAUCCCUUGUAAUAAAACGUAACUUUUAAAUGUAGUAACAAUUUUAAGUCGACGAAGUAUGAUGUAGUAUUAAAUUAAAUAAAUAUUUUAUGAAAACUUUAAUUAACUAUUUCGUUAUUUUAUGAUCUAAUGUAUUUUGCUUUGAGGGGAAAUUUUUUUUAUCAAAAUUAUGGCGUAAUAAUUAAACCGCUGUAUGUCAGAGCGCAGGUAUAUGCGAGAAACGUUUGUUUUUCUAUGGUUCCAUAAUCAUAAUUUGCCCACAAAUAUAAAAAAAAAUGGUGACAUAAUCCGACCAUGCUAUUAUAAAACCUAUUACCUUCUAUAAAAAAUAACAUUCAUAUAUCAGAGAUUGUGUUCAGCAUGAAUGAAAUUAUUUACCAAUAUACUCGAAUUUCUACAAAUAAGUUCUAUCACCAACUUGGAAACGUUUUAUGCUUAUUGUUAUUAACUUUUUUGCAAACUUCCCCGAUUAAGGAAUAUUAGGAAUAUUUAAGAUCAGUGUUCCCACUCAAGGAACAUUUAAAAUUCUGUUCCCGAUUAAGGAACAUAUAAUAUAAUUUUUCCCGAUUUGGGAACUUUCAGUUUAACAUUAUUCCAUACUGGGAAUAAUUUCUAUGAUAGAUUGUUGUUUUCUAUAUUCAUGAAAUAUUUUAAUUAAUCGUAAAACCAUAUAAACUCUGGAAUACAUUUACCAUGGAACCUCCAACCUGUUCCCUAUUUAGAUUUUUUUUUUGUUAUUACUUUUAUUACUAUAAAGUUUUAGUAGGCACUUAAAAGGUAUACAAUAGUGAUAUGACUUUUUAUUUUAAAAUUAGAUAUGGCUAAAAAUCUAUGUUUAAAACAAUAAGUUAAACAAUGGAAUCCUAAUUUUAAGCAGUAGUUUAUUUUUUGAAUACUUAUUCUUCUAUAAAAAAUCGUAUCAAGAUUGUUUGCGUUUGUAAUAAGUGCCUAAUCAAACAAAUUACAUAAUUACAAGUGAGUAACUAAUGAAAUUAUAUGUUUUCUUCAUUUUAAUAGUUACUAGAUAUUGUGUGAUAAAAUCCUGAUAUGUUCUGUAUGGUUUUAAACAUAGUAAUAUAUUUAAGUUACAAAAAUAUUUAGGUGAUGUGCAAUUUACUGCAAAAGAAAGACAAGUUUAUGUAGGUAUAUUUAUUUCAUUUUAAUCUUGACAAAAUAAUUACAGAUUUCCACGUAUAAAAAAGAUUUAAAAAAGAUGUAUUAAUGAUCUGCCUGAUGUAGAAAUGUUAUUCCCUAUUUCUUUAUAAAAUCCUUUUGUAGUACCUUGUACUUGCCUAUAUGAAUAAUAAAGCUUUGUACAUAUACAAACAUAUAUCCCAUGUUAAAAUAAUAUGUGACAGUAAUACAGAGUGGAAAAUAAUCAGCAUUUAUAUUGCAGAGUAACGACUUACUAUACAGACUUACUAUAACCGUUAGUGGACACUUGAACAAACAAUAAGUAACUAAAACUACCACUAGACUGGUUCUUGUUCUAAGCUCAAAACAUUAUAGUAAAUUAUAGCCUAAAAACGUGUUUAAAAUAUCGAUUAAAAUCUUUUUUCCUGCCCCGUUCCCAAUUUUAUUUAAGGUUGUGCACCCAAAAAUAUCUGCAAAUCUAAAAAAGUCUGUAUGGAAUGAUUCUAGAAUGGAGUGAUUAUUUUCUUUUCUGUAGUCCAAUUUUCUAUAAUCAAUCCCCUUGAUAAUCUGUCUAUAAUUUUACUACAACUCAUCUAAAGGUUAGCGUACCAAACUAGAAACUUGUAUUCAAGGUUAGCAUUAGUUCAGAAAAUUGUCUCUUCCGAACGGUGAUUUUAACAUGUAUCAAUGUUUAGGAUCACCGUAUUUUUUCAUGAUUUUACUCCUCAAUAGCUAAUCUUGUAUUACUUUCUAUUUAAAUACUGUAGUAUCCCAAUUUGUUAUCUGGAUUUUUUAUCGAAGAAAUGGCGGGAGUCAUGUGAUUUUCAAAUUGCUUUGUAUAGUAAAUAUUGUAUAAGUUAGCUUCACCUUCUAAAUGAUUUGACUGUGUUCUAUCAGCCCUUUGUAUUAUAAAAAUCGCGACGUUUGUUUGUCGUGAAACUAUAAUUUGUUGUUAUAAUUAUAAUAAAAUAUAAUUUAUUCGGAACGUA